GUAGGGAAUCUUCCACAAUGGACGAAAGUCUGAUGGAGCAACGCCGCGUGAGUGAAGAAGGUCUUCGGAUCGUAAAACUCUGUUGUUAGAGAAGAACGUGCAUGAUAGUAACUGAUCAUGUAAUGACGGUAUCUAACCAGAAAGCCACGGCUAACUACGUGCCAGCAGCCGCGGUAAUACGUAGGUGGCAAGCGUUGUCCGGAUUUAUUGGGCGUAAAGCGAGCGCAGGCGGUUCUUUAAGUCUGAUGUGAAAGCCUUCGGCUUAACCGGAGAAGUGCAUCGGAAACUGGGAGACUUGAGUGCAGAAGAGGACAGUGGAACUCCAUGUGUAGCGGUGGAAUGCGUAGAUAUAUGGAAGAACACCAGUGGCGAAGGCGGCUGUCUAGUCUGUAACUGACGCUGAGGCUCGAAAGCAUGGGUAGCGAACAGGAUUAGAUACCCGGGUAGUCC
This 450-nucleotide ribosomal RNA is filed under the name uncultured bacterium. RNAcentral's name for it is "partial 16S ribosomal RNA". It matches the Rfam family "Bacterial small subunit ribosomal RNA", at positions 354 to 796 of the family's 1533-position model. The record is from RNAcentral.